Molecule: ribosomal RNA, 259 nt
Filed under: uncultured archaeon
Lineage: Archaea
Description: partial 16S ribosomal RNA
Rfam family: Archaeal small subunit ribosomal RNA
Source: RNAcentral
AGGGUGUAAACGCUGCAGACUUGGUGUUGGGAACCCUUCGGGGUGCUCAGUGCCGGAGAGAAGUUGUUAAGUCUGCUACUUGGGAGUACGUCCGCAAGGAUGAAACUUAAAGGAAUUGGCGGGGGAGCACCGCAACGGGAGGAGCGUGCGGUUUAAUUGGAUUCAACACCGUAAAACUCACCAGGGAAGACUGUUACAUGAAGGCCGAGAUGAAGACUCUGCUAGAUUUUCAGAGAGGAGGUGCAUGGCGUCAGUGACU